AUAGAUCAACUAUCAGGUGGAAAGAAAACAGAAAAUAAACCUUUGAAUAGUGCAUCUCCUUUAUUUGCUGAAAAUUUAACAGAUUUUCUUUCUCUUCUUUCUAGCAGUAUAGAUUACAUCUGAAUGUGCAUCUUCAUGACAUGAUGCUAACACUACCGUCGAUGUUGUAAACAAAAUUCAGAGGCAUUCACACUCCUUAAACAUUGGUACAACUAUACAAAAUUCAGAGGUAUUCACACUCCUUAAACAUUGGUACAUCUGUACCACCCAAUUAGGAACCUUAAUAAGGACUGAAACCUAGGAUUAAUCGACAGGAUAACGGCUGUAAUCUGGACCAUCCUCUGUCACAAUCACCAUGGCUGUUUUGGGGAACAAAAGACUUGGUUUACAUCGACACCACAGCUCACGACUCAGUUUAACAACACCCCCGUCCUCCCCCUCCUCCUCAAGGCUUCUGAUCUGAUCCUGCUGCUGCUUCUUGAUAACCAAAAGCUAGAUGAGGAGCCUGCUGCAAGUAAAAAGGAACAAUGGUAUUAGGCGCAUCGUAGAUUCAAAAUCGCCUUGAGAAGUACCGGAGGGUGAGUCCUUUUUUCUGUUAUUGAUGCUAUAUAUUCUAGGUUUAACCGGGUAAAAUAGUUAUGCUCGUUUCCACAAUCGUCCGGGAAAUUUCUUUUUCAUCAGUAUAUGGCAUGCCAAAACAAUCAUAAGCUGAAGUUGAGGAGGAACAAAGAAAAAGUGCUCCCGAGCAGGAUUCCGUUUUAUGGACAGCCGACAACAAUUGGAGUCUGGAUCACUCCAGAUUGUGGCAGAUGAGCAUGUGAACCAAAAUUUAUCUCACAUGAAUGAGUAGCUUUCCUUUUCCUUUUUUUUUGUGCGUGCAGCUAGGCAACAAGCUGAUUCAUCUGCUGUGGUACAAAGAAGAAUCACAUGCGUCUUGUCCAGUUCUGCCAGGACGAUAUAAUCCUCCAUUUGAAGUGGGAAUAGGAAGAAGUGGGGGUUUCCGGAAUGGCGGUUGAAGCUCUCCUUGACGAUCUGGACACCGUCGCAGCAGCCGAGCAACCACACGACGGCGCUUCCUCUUCCCAGCAGCAGCUCACCGUGGACAGCUACGGCCUGAGUGGGCCACUGUUCCUGGCGCAGCCAACAACCACUGCAGCAAGCACAUAUCUGCAUGCUGCAGUCACCAGCCCUGGGCUGUGCAGCGUCAACAGCAGCCUUGGAGAAAACCAAUUUCAGAUUGCCGCAGGGGGUAGCCCUGAGCACCGCAGGAUCAGAUCAAACGAUGCGCUUCACUACAUAAGCCAGAUGCUGAUGGAGGACGUCGACGAGGCACCGGUCGGCGUGUGCCAAGAGGAGGCUGCUGCUCUCCAGGCCGCCGAGAAGCCAUUCCGUGACAUCCUUGGGCCGGUAUACCCGCCGGCUACUAACUGGCAACAAUUGCAUAGCAGCAAUGGAACAGGUAACUCUGGUAAGAGCUGGACCAGCCGUUACAAGAGGCUCUGGAGCACUAGCUUCGGUGAUAACGACUGUUCCAGUUACAGCGUGUUACAGCCCUUAACAACAUACCCGUUGAGUCUAUAUACCUGCAAUAGGAGUCUUCUUUCUCUGCAAAAACGUCCGUUGAUAAGUGUUGGGCCGACAUGUAGAUCUGGUUUCCCCGCCUUGCAUCGUCAGAGAGGAGGCGUCGAGGAGGCACCGACUGUUGCUCCAAGUAUUGAUAAGCUGGUGAUAUGUUUAGAGAAUGGCAUACUUUCUAUCACCAGACUGACCACAAAGGCGAAAGUAGGAGGGAGGAGCGAAAAUGCAAUUUUUGAGGUGGCAGACCCAAGGGAGGAGUGGGAUGUCUUGGAAAGAAGGAGCAACAAACAUCUUGCCUUCACCGCUUGUGCAAUAAUUCGAAAUGAAAAUUUCGACCGGAUUCUGCUAUGCUAUGGUCGGAAGAGUUUGGGACAAAUAGCAAGACCACAAAGAGGGAUGAUGGCAGAGGAAGGCAACAAGAGCUCGAUGAAAGGCCGGAGCAAAGGAGGUCAGAAGGUAUGGCAGAGGAAGCAACCGAGGAGAGAGUUGGUUGAUCUCAGGACUCUCCUCGUCCAUUGCGCACAAGCUAUGGCAGAACAUGACCACCUGUUGGCCAGUGACCUCCUAAAGAAGAUAAGGCAACACUCCUCAGCAGAUGGUGAUUGUACUCAGAGACUGGCAUUUUACUUGGCGGAUGGCCUCGAGGCACGCUUGGCUGGGAUCGGGAGUCAGGUUUAUCGCAACCUCAUGGAGAGGCGAACAAGUAGCACCGAUUGGUUAGAUGCUUGCAGCCAUUUUCUUGCAUCCUGCCCUUUCGACAGGACGUCACACUACUUUGCCAGCCAAGCAAUUCUUGAUGUUUCACAAGGGCAACCAAGGGUGCACAUCGUUGAUUUCGGUAUCGGCUUCGGCCUUCAAUGGCCAUUAAUGAUUCAGAGGUUCUCACUGCAAGAAGAGGGAGCCCCUAAGCUUCGGAUCACAGGUAUAGACGUUCCCCAGCCAGGUUUCCACCCCUGCGAAAUGAUUGAGGAGACAGGGAAGCGGUUGGCUGAUUAUGCACACAUGUUCAAGGUACCUUUUCAGUAUCAGGGCAUUGCCGCCUCAAGAUGGGAUACCAUUAAAAUUCAGGAUCUUAACAUCGACGAGGAUGAAGUUCUGAUAAUCAACUGCAUGUUCCGGAUGAAGAAUCUUGGUCAUGACACCGAAGCUGUAAAUAGUAGGGAUAAGGUGCUCAAAACUAUGAGGAGGAUGAAGCCAAAGAUUUUUAUUUCUGGCAUAGUGAACGGGUUACGCAGUUCUCCCUUCUUCAUACAACGUUUCAAAGAGGUCAUGUUCCAUUACUCUUCAAUGUUUGACAUGCUUGAUGCAAAUGUUCAACGGGAUAAUAAAGCAAGGAAGUUGAUUGAGAAGAUCCUAUUUGGGCAGGAUGCACUUAACAUCAUAGCAUGUGAAGGCGCAGAGAGAACUGAGAGGCCGGAGAGUUACAGGCAGUGGCAAGCAAGGUGCCUCAAGGCUGGGUUCCAGCAGCUUCCCGUCGAUCCAGCCAUCUUAAAGAACAUAGUACAAAUGAAGAACCCACUUUCUCAUGAGGAAUUCUUCGUUAAUGAAGAUUGCGGUUGGCUGCUACAAGGAUGGAAAGGGAGAGUACUUUAUGCUGUUUCUAAAUGGAAACCUAAUGAAACAUAUGAUGAUAAGUAACAUUCAAACACUUUUACCUUUCCAGAGAUUACAUGUGAAAUGAUGCAUGAUUAGGUACUUUAUGCUGUUGACGACGUCGCUGUUCAAGUUUCCGGCAAAG
RNAcentral lists this long non-coding RNA (3316 nucleotides) under Hordeum vulgare. Its description in RNAcentral is "long non-coding RNA (HVUL_LNC000088)". Lineage: Eukaryota; Viridiplantae; Streptophyta; Magnoliopsida; Poales; Poaceae. The record is from RNAcentral.